Molecule: long non-coding RNA, 222 nt
Organism: Oncorhynchus keta (chum salmon)
Lineage: Eukaryota; Metazoa; Chordata; Actinopteri; Salmoniformes; Salmonidae
Exons: 3
Source: RefSeq, a predicted model, not a curated record
GUUUGGGAGCAGCUUAUUGAUGUCCUGAUGCAGGUUUAAAAUGUUUGGGAGCACACUCAUUAAUGUCCUGAUGCAGGUUUAAAAUGUUUGGGAGCAGCUUAUUGAUGUCCUGAUGCAGGUUUAAAAUGUUUGGGAGCAGCUUAUUGAUGUCCUGUUGCAGGUUUAAAAUGUUUGGGAGCAGCUCAUUGAUGUCCUGAUGCAGGUUUAACAUGUUUGGGAGCA